GAGCAUCUGCUGAUGCCAAAGAAUGGGGCGUACGCAAGUAUGCCACUGCACAUGAACCAUGUUCUCUUGGGCCAGUUACCCUGUGCAGCAUGCCUGCAGGUCGUGCUAGCCCAACAGAAAUAAGUUAUGCCAAGGGGCCCUCGCGGAAGCCCACUGGGUCAUGGGCCCAGGAAAAGGAAUUUAUUUCUUGGGCUAUUAUAAUUGGAAAGGAUGGGCUUUGGGGAAGAAUUUGUAAAAAAAAA
This 242-nucleotide long non-coding RNA is filed under the name Carica papaya (papaya). RNAcentral's name for it is "long non-coding RNA (CPAP_LNC010237)". Lineage: Eukaryota; Viridiplantae; Streptophyta; Magnoliopsida; Brassicales; Caricaceae. The record is from RNAcentral.